RNAcentral lists this long non-coding RNA (5189 nucleotides) under Sus scrofa (pig). Its description in RNAcentral is "lncRNA (ENSSSCG00000052255.1)". The record is from RNAcentral. Lineage: Eukaryota; Metazoa; Chordata; Mammalia; Artiodactyla; Suidae.
AGAUACUCACAGUUCCCAUCCCCCACUCACUCCUGCAUCUCCAUCCACUUAGGAUUCUUGUCUGGCUUUCAAAGGCAUUUGGGAUUUUGAUCCUUCUAGGGUAGGAGAUGAAAUAAUAGAAAUGGUCACCCUGAGAAAUAGAAACUUGGGGCUCUUUGGAGAUCCCUUUUAAAGCUUGUGACUUCACAGCUUUUUAUAUCAGAGAAGAUCUUUGGGUUCUCUCUGCGUGCAAUAUGGUUUUUCCUGCCAAGAACAGGGGCUCUGCUAGCCAAGAACCAGGGCCAGCUCCACCUUACCUCCUUCCACAGAUGUCUCCCUUCCUCUCGUCCUUCCCAGGGAGGAAUCAGGCCCCUUGAGGUCAAAAUGGGUGCAAGAGAGAGUGAGUGAGACUUUCAGAGAGAGAGACACAGCCUAGAGCCCCAAAUCCCCGAGGAAGUGUCAGAGCCUUAAAAACUGGAUGCAGACCCAAGAGCCAAUUUCCUUUCAAUGCCACUAGAGGGCAGUGUAGUGCAAAGGACGGAGAGGAGAUUAGUUCCGGAGCCGCAGGUUCUAGUCCACUCUGCUAGCGGUGAUCUGCAAAAUAAGCUUGGCGCAUUUUCCUGAUAGCCCCCUCCAGUUCUAAGGUUCUGAGAUCCUGUCAGGAGAGGAUCGGGAUGAACUAGCCAAGAACUCCAAGUAGGUCUAUGUAAGAAACCAGAUGUGGGGGAGCGGUGGGGGAUGGCGAGAAUGGGGUGGUGGUGUAGGCAGCUGAGAGGUUUCUUUUGUGAUGGCCCAAACCUUUCUAAGGUUUGAAUCCUGCAGGGGGUAAAAAGCCUUAAAGUGUCUCUUUUAGGGUCAUGUGCUCGCAUUUGGGCAGCAUGUCAAACCACCCCAAAUAGUUUGGCAUUAUAGCCUGCUCCUACCCUUGCUGGGGGCAGUUGCUUAAUCCAGGGGAAGUAUUCAAAAUUACCACACAUACCACGCACUGGUGGCUUACCCAUCCUUGCAUUGUGUCAUAGCAGAGCCUAUUUUUUUCUUGGUGGAAAUCCUUCCAGAAAUGGCUUGAUGGAGAGCCUGUGGUGGCCACGGGGUACCCCUUGGCAGAGAUUAAAAAGUGAAGUCAGCAGGCAAAACCCUUUCUGGCUCAGGAGCUCCACUGAACAGGGUGCCUUGCUAUGCUUUAGAAACCCCAUCAAAGUUCUGGGGGCCCCUGCUGAUUUGGGGCAGAGUCUUUUUCCAUUGAAGUCACUUGUUAGGGUGUCCUGAAGUCAGAGACAGUGAGGUUGUAUCUUAAGAGAGCACUAAGGGUCAGGCUUGUCAUUAGAAGAUGGAUGGGCAUUUUCAGUGGUUUGGUGUCUAUGCAUCUCCAUAGGCCUCUAAUUCUGCCAGACUCACCCAAAAGCCAGCUGCAAAGGUAUAAACUUUGGACCUGUGAGCCUUGUUCAGGAGCCUCCUAGUGAGCUUCCAAUUUCCCAGCCUGUUCCUGCAUCCGUUGGCUGUGGACCUCUUGCCUCACUUCCUGUUACUACCCUUGGACUUCUUAGAGCUAGUGGGGGCAGGAUGGCCUAGUGGCUAGGAACACUGGCUCUGGAGCUUGACCAUCUGGGUGUGUGACUCCAGGCAAGUUACCUAAACUUCUUAUUGCCUCAUUUCCUCACCUGUAAGAUGGAGGUGAUUAUAAUAGUACCUGCCUUACACAGUGUUUGUGAGGAUGAAAGUGCUUAGCCCAGGGUGGGUAGACACCUGAUAAAGAUUUGCUGAAUAUAUACACUCAGGUCUACAUUGCAGAGACUAGUACAUGUAGAGAGGAAAAAAUCCCAGAAGAAAACACUUAAAAAAAAAUCAUUACCUCUACUUCCACGUCUGGCUGAGGUGGAUACAGGGACUAAAUAUACCCACCUGUCUGAAAUUACUAAGUGCUAAUAUACAACAAGUGCUGAUUAAAUGUUUGGUGAUAUUGUUGUUUUCAUGCCUUAACUCGCUUAUUCCUCACAAGUGUGUGACGGGCUUGGUCAUGGGCAGUCCUCUCUCCUUGUUCUAUCUUCUCUUCCUGGGUGAUGCCAUCUGCUCCUGGGCUCAGCAUGCCACCUCCAUAGGCUGAGGACACCAAGAUUUCUUCUCCAGCCCAGACCUCUCUCCUGAGUUCUGGACAAGCUCUUGUUAAAUGCAUUCUUGGCAACUAAAGACCCCAUAGCAGACUGUCUCUGGAAAACACUUUGUAUUUGGGGGAAGAGGCACAGGUGUUUUCUCUUCUAGUUCUCAGCCAGUUUCAAACUCUGAGUCUAGAGCUCAGCCAGUUUCAAACUCUGAGUCUAGAGCUCUGAGCCUUUGGGGGGCAGAGGUAAUCAGAGGUUAUUUACAGUGAUACGGAAGAAAUUGAGCACCCAGGGUUAAGAUGGCAAGGGCUCAGGGUUUGGGAAGCCCCUGGCAGCAUUGACAACAUGCUGUUUUCACUUGAACUUUGCUUGCCUCUUGUCUGUUUUUGAUGACUGGGUCUCUAGCCUUUCUGACGCACCAGUGAGCUGCCAGAUAUCCUUCCAACCCAAGGUUGUUUUGUACUGAUUGUAGCCAGAACCCAUCAAAGGUACAGGCUUGUUACAUUCAUUGUGCCCCAAAUGAGCUCAUUAUCUACUCCUCUGAAACCUUCUCCUCCUCCAGAGAACUGUAUUGGAGUAAAUGGCUUCUCCAUUUAUCUGGUUUUCUAUGUCAGCAAUAUGAGUCUUACACCUCCCUCUCCCUCACUGUCACCACCCAGUCACCAGAUCUCAUUGACACAGCUUUCUAAACAUUUCUCGAGAACUUUUCCUGCUCUCCACUGCCAUUACUAUGGUCCUCCUUUCUUAUAAUUGCCUCCUGCCUGAUGUCCUUGCUUUUCUCAGCCCGUCCUUCCCCCAGAAGCCAGAGUGAUGUUUUAACAAGACAAAUCUAAUUUUAUAACUCCUUCUCUUAAAGCCUACAGUGCCUUGUGUUUCUCUGUGGGUAAAGUCCAAAAUCACACUGGAGUCCCUAAAUUCACCCUAGAGGUACAUGGACCUUUCAGUUUCCUGCCAAUGCAAAACUCCUUCACACCUUGUCAACUUGGUAUAAUCUGGUUGCUCUGCUUAGAAUACUCUUCCCUCUACCCAAUUUCACAAGGCCAAGGCUUGGUCACCUUUUUGACCUCAGCUCACAUGCUAUAUCUUCAUGGAAUUCUUCCUUGAUUCUCCAGGCUAAGUCAGGUCCUUCUGAUAUAUGUUCUUCUAGCAUUCUGGAUUUCUCUGUUUCAGCUCUUGUCAUAACUAAUUAAUUAUUACUCUAUUUCCCUGAUUUUCUAAUAUAUGUUUCCAAAUAUUUUAACAUCUCUGAAAUCAGGAUGCAUCUUACAGUUGUAUGUGUCUCAAAAGUAUCAUUGGUGAGUGUGUUUCAUUUUCAGCGGUAUAUAAAAUAAUGGUGCAACUUGCAAGCAAUGCCAUCUUAGAUCUGAUGAAUUAUGGUAAUUAUAUAGUUCUUGGUUUGCCUGAUGUAUUUCCUAGAGUACAAGCCAUGUCUGUCUUGAUGAGCACUGUUUUCCCAACACUACUAUAGGAUCUGGUCCACAGUAAGCAUUGGAUAAAGAUUUGUUGAAUGUACACAUACAUUAUAUAUUACAGAAACUAAAAAGAUCACAGGAGAAAGUAAACAAAAACCCAAUUAUCUCAAUUUCUGCUUCUCGGCUAAGGUAGAGUAAUAAUAUUGGAUUUACUUACCUAUCUAUAACCACUAAGUACUGAGCCAAAUACCUGAAAGUGUGAUUUUCAAGACACUAGACAUCAGGAAACAAAGGACAGUGAUCCCUGAGAGAAGGGAAACAAAUCAAGUGAGCCCUGAAACAAGCCUAAUUUACUACGUGGAGAGAGUUUCCAGGAUGUUGUCAGGGAGAGAAAACCCAGGUCUUGGCAGUCUCCCUGAGUUGAGAAGACAGAGGUCUCCUCUUGGGGAGUCCACAAUGGCUAUUGUUUACAGGACACAGUUCUGGGGAGGAGAAUUCCACUGAAUUUCAUCCGUCUUCAGAGGAAUCACCAUCAACACAUGUAUUUGAGGGAAUACCCAAAGUUGGGGAAAGAACUCCUCAAAUGGAUGAGAGCUCAUGCAGGUAUGGGAAUAGUUUCUGUUCCCACCAGUCAAAGUGAAAACUUUAAAAUUCACAGGGCAGUGGGGAGAAUACACAGUAGAGUUUUGCCUUAGUAGUGGGGAAAGUUAAUGUUAGAUUGAACAUUAAACUCUGCUUGAGUCCUGCCUAACAAAGUUAAAAAGCAAAACUUGAAAAUAUCAUACCAUUUCUGGGUGACUUAACUAUGUUCCAGAACAAAGUUCAAGAAUAUUUAUAAAAUUACCAAAAGGUAAAAUCCAUAAUGUCUGGCAUUUUAUAAAACAUUAUGAAGUAUGUGAAAAAGCAGGCAAAAAUAAUCAUCAUGAGGAGAAAAAAGAUCAAUCAAUUGAAACCGACCUAGAAAUGACACAGAUGUUAGAAGUUUUAGACAAGAAUAUUAAAGUAAUCAUUAUAGUUUUAUUCUACAUGUUGUAGACCCUAGAGGAAAGAUCAACUAUUAAGUAGAGAUAUGGAAAUUAUGAAAAGACUCAGGUCGAACCUCUAGAGAUGAGAAUGACAAUGUCAAAGAGAGAAUUAAUAUCAGAUUAAAUAUUUGAGAAGAAAGAUUAAUGAACUUAAAUAUGUAAAAAUGAAAAUUAUCCCUCAAAACAUAGAAAAAAAGGCUGAAAAGAUGAGUAGAACUGUAGUGAGCUGUGUUAAUGGUAAAGCUAUAGGUGACCUGAUAUACACAUGUAUUUGGAAUCUCUGAAGAGGAGGGGACAGAAAUGUAUUUGAAGACAUAAUGGUUGACAGUUUUCAAAUUUGAUGAAAAACAUAAACCCAUAGAUCCGCAAUGCUUGUGGAACCCAAAGAAACAUGAAGAAAACUACGCUAAGACACGUCAUAAUCAAAUUGCUUAAGAUUGGAGUUCCCGUCGUGGCGCAGUGGUUAACGAAUCCGACUAGGAACCAUGAGGUUGCGGGUUCGGUCCCUGCCCUUGCUCAGUGGGUUAACGAUCCGGCGUUGCCGUGAGCUGUGGUGUAGGUUGCAGAUGCGGCUCGGAUCCCGCGUUGCUGUGGCUCUGGCGUAGGCCGGUGGCUCCAGCUCCGAUUCAACCCCUAGCCUGGGAACCUCCAUAUGCCACGGGAGCGGCCCAAGAAAU